GACGAACGCUGGCGGCGUGCUUAACACAUGCAAGUCGAACGGAAAGGCCCUGCUUUUGUGGGGUGCUCGAGUGGCGAACGGGUGAGUAACACGUGUGUAACCUGCCCUUGACUUUGGGAUAACUUCAGGAAACUGGGGCUAAUACCGGAUAGGAGCUCCUGCUGCAUGGUGGGGGUUGGAAAGUUUCGGCGGUUGGGGAUGGACUCGCGGCUUAUCAGCUUGUUGGUGGGGUAGUGGCUUACCAAGGCUUUGACGGGUAGCCGGCCUGAGAGGGUGACCGGCCACAUUGGGACUGAGAGACGGCCCAGACGCGUACGGGACGCAGCAGGGGAGAAUAUUGCACAAUGGGCGGACGCCUGAUGCAGAAGCGCCGCGUGCGUGAUGACGGCUUUCGGGUUGUAAACCGCUUUCGCCUGUGACGAAGCGUGAGUGACGGUAAUGGGUAAAGAAGCAACGGCUAACUACGUG
Molecule: ribosomal RNA, 468 nt
Filed under: uncultured bacterium
Lineage: Bacteria
Description: partial 16S ribosomal RNA
Rfam family: Bacterial small subunit ribosomal RNA
Source: RNAcentral